Molecule: transfer RNA, 59 nt
Filed under: Cercopithecus mitis heymansi
Lineage: Eukaryota; Metazoa; Chordata; Mammalia; Primates; Cercopithecidae
Description: tRNA-Ser
Source: RNAcentral
GAGAAAAUUCGCAAGGACUGCUAACCCAUGCCUCCAUACUUAAAACUAUGGCUUUCUCA